CCUACGGGAGGCAGCAGUGAGGAAUAUUGGUCAAUGGACGAGAGUCUGAACCAGCCAAGCCGCGUGAAGGAAGAAUGCUCUAGGGGUUGUAAACUUCUUUUAUAAAGGAAUAAAACGAGGCACGUGUGCCUGUUUGCAUGUACUUUAAGAAAAAGGAUCGGCUAACUCCGUGCCAGCAGCCGCGGUAAUACGGAGGAUCCGAGCGUUAUCCGGAUUUAUUGGGUUUAAAGGGAGCGUAGACGGGUUGGUAAGUCAGUUGUGAAAGCUUGUGGCUCAACCGUAAAAUUGCAGUUGAUACUGGCAGUCUUGAGUACAGUUGAGGUAGGCGGAAUUCGUGGUGUAGCGGUGAAAUGCUUAGAUAUUACGAAGAACCCCGAUUGCGAAGGCAGCUUACUGGACUGUGACUGACAUUGAGGCUCGAAAGUGUGGGUAUCAAACAGGAUUAGAUACCCUUGUAGUC
This 460-nucleotide ribosomal RNA is filed under the name uncultured bacterium. RNAcentral describes it as "partial 16S ribosomal RNA". It matches the Rfam family "Bacterial small subunit ribosomal RNA", at positions 338 to 795 of the family's 1533-position model. The record is from RNAcentral.